This 207-nucleotide ribosomal RNA is filed under the name uncultured bacterium. RNAcentral's name for it is "partial 16S ribosomal RNA". It matches the Rfam family "Bacterial small subunit ribosomal RNA", at positions 568 to 774 of the family's 1533-position model. The record is from RNAcentral.
UACGCAGGCGGGAUAUUAAGUCAGUGGUGAAAGCCUACAGCUCAACUGUAGAAUUGCCAUUGAAACUGAUAUUCUUGAGUAUGGUUGAGGUGGUUGGAAUAUAUCAUGUAGCGGUGAAAUGCUUAGAUAUGAUACAGAACACCAAUUGCGAAGGCAGAUCACUAAACCAUUACUGACGCUCAUGUACGAAAGCGUGGGGAGCGAACA